Molecule: ribosomal RNA, 468 nt
Filed under: uncultured bacterium
Lineage: Bacteria
Description: partial 16S ribosomal RNA
Rfam family: Bacterial small subunit ribosomal RNA
Source: RNAcentral
GACGAACGCUGGCGGCGUGCUUAGCACAUGCAAGUCGAACGGAAAGGCCCUGCUUUUGUGGGGUGCUCGAGUGGCGAACGGGUGAGUAACACGUGAGUAACCUGCCCUUGACUUUGGGAUAACUUCAGGAAACUGGGGCUAAUACCGGAUAGGAGCUCCUGCUGCAUGGUGGGGGUUGGAAAGUUUCGGCGGUUGGGGAUGGACUCGCGGCUUAUCAGCUUGUUGGUGGGGUAGUGGCUUACCAAGGCUUUGACGGGUAGCCGGCCUGAGAGGGUGACCGGCCACAAUGGGACUGAGAUACGGCCCAGACUCCUACGGGAGGCAGCAGUGGGGAAUAUUGCACAAUGGGCGGAAGCCUGAUGCAGCAACGCCGCGUGCGGGAUGACGGCCUGCGGGUUGUAAACCGCUUUCGCCUGUGACGAAGCGGGAGUGACGGUAAUGGGUAAAGAAGCACCGGCUAACUACGUG